RNAcentral lists this ribosomal RNA (311 nucleotides) under uncultured bacterium. RNAcentral's name for it is "partial 16S ribosomal RNA". The record is from RNAcentral.
UCCUAGCACAUGCAAUUCGAGCGUUAAAACGGGGCCACCCAGCAGUAGAGUGGGGGACCGGUCACCUUGUACAUCUGAACGUUUCCAGUAAAGGGGGAUAACCCAACCAAAGUGGCGCUAAUACCGGAUGUAAUCUGUAGAUAAUACCGGGGGAUCCACCAGUCAAAGCUUUUGGAAAACUCCCGUCGGCUUGCAGAGUCCAUAAGUGUGUAGUGUGCUGCACCUCCCGUUAUUGGACCGGGUGAUGUCUGAGUAACUACUAGGUGAUGUAAUGGAUUAGCAUGCCGACAUCAGUCCCUGGUCUGACAAGA